Molecule: long non-coding RNA, 257 nt
Filed under: Setaria italica (foxtail millet)
Lineage: Eukaryota; Viridiplantae; Streptophyta; Magnoliopsida; Poales; Poaceae
Description: long non-coding RNA (SITA_LNC005557)
Source: RNAcentral
CCGACUUGACUGGAGAUGCGCGCAAGUGUGCGCUGUUGGUGACUCUGAGCCGGAGUAUGAUCGAGUCUAUUUGCACAUUGAAGACACUGAAGGAGGCAUUAUGCGGCCUGAAGCUUCACUUAAAAAGCAACGUGCAUCAACGGCUCUGCCUCCUGGAACCUGCGCUGGGAUGGCUCCCGGCACCAGCGAGCAAUCUCUCCCAUCAUAGAUGUCCUAUGAUUGGCAAGAAGAGCAUAGAACCUGCAUAUCCAACCUGG